Molecule: long non-coding RNA, 534 nt
Organism: Bubalus bubalis (water buffalo)
Lineage: Eukaryota; Metazoa; Chordata; Mammalia; Artiodactyla; Bovidae
Exons: 2
Source: RefSeq, a predicted model, not a curated record
UGAUGCUUUCUAAGGCCCACUUGACUUCACAUUCCAGAAUGUCUGGCUCUAGGAGCAAGAUAACAGACUCCUCUAGUGAUCCAUCAGCCAAUCAAGAGCUCUCAUCAAGCCUGUCUUCUCCAUGGGAAAGCAACAUUCUGCAAGGACCUGCAGUACUAAUUUUUUGGGGGGGCCUUACUUUAGUCAUUGUUAAAAAAAAAUGAAUUAAUAAAUCUGCAUGGGUGUAAAUGACAAUCAAUGUUGUUCAACAGGAGGAUUUGUAAAAUUAGGAUCUACACAAAAGUAAAAUAAUGUUUAUAAAUUUGACACAGAGUGAUUGUACAAGAUUUCAUUGAGUGAAGUUACAUACACAUUAUAUCUCUGCUAUUUCUAUUUUACUUUGAAAUAACAAAGAUUUCCAGCUUCGAAUGAGUUGGUAAACUGUCAUCUACAAAUCAAACUGGAUUUUUAAAAGUCUGUUAAUCACAAAUCCUGAUUGAAAUGUUUCAACACUACACCUCACAAUAAAUAUUUGUUCAAAGAAUGGACUAAGUU